AGUGCAUCCCGGCCACGGCGCGCCUGCUCUGGGCUCUCCGCGUGCCGCGUCGCUUUCUUUUCUUCCUCUGGAGCAGUUAUGGCGGCGGCGAAGACCCUGAACCCCAAGGCCAAGGUGGCCGGAGCGCAGGCGGCGCUGGCGUUCAACAUUAGCGGGGCGCGGGGUCUGCAGGACGUGCUGAGGACCAACCUGGGGCCCAAAGGGACCAUAAAGAUUCUUGUUUCUGGCGCUGGAGACAUCAAGCUUACUAAAGACACAGGAGUUGACGAUCAGCCCUGGCCAACAUGGUGAAACUCAGUCUCUACUAAAAAUACAAAAAUUAGCCGGGCACGGUCCUGCACAGUGCGCUGCUUCACGAAAUGCAAAUUCAACACCCAACAGCUUCCUUAAUAGCAAAGGUAGCAACAGCCCAGGAUGAUAUAACUGGUGAUGGUACGACUUCCAAUGUCCUAAUCAUUGGAGAGCUGCUGAAACAGGCAGAUCUCUACAUUUCUGAAGGCCUUCAUCCCAGAAUAAUCACUGAAGGAUUUGAAGCUGUGAAGGAAAAGCCCUUCAUUUUUUGGAAGAAGUCAAAGUAAGCAGAGAGAUGGACAAGGAAACACUUAAAGAUGUGGCCAGGGCAUCUCUUUGUACUAAAGUUCAUGCUGAACUUGCAGAUGUCUUAACAGAGGCUGUAGUGGGCUCCAUUUUGGCCAUUAAAAGAAAAGAUGAACCUAUUGAUCUCUUCAUGAUUUUGUGAUCAUUGACAAGAAACAUAAAUCUGAAACUGAUACAAGAGAAGUGAAUUCUGGCGUUUUUUACAAGAGUGCAGAAAGAGAAAAACUCAUAAAAGCUGAAAGAAAAUUCAUUGAAGAUAGAGUUAAAACAAAUAAUAGAACUGAAAAGGAAAGUCUGUAGUAAUUCAGAUAAAGGAUUUGUUAUUAAUCAAAAGGGAAUUGACCCCUUUUCCUUAGAUGCUCUUUCAAAGAAGGCAUAGUCGCUCUUCACAGAGCUAAAAGGAGGAAUAUGGAGAGGCUGACUCUUGCUUGUGGUGGGGUGGCCCUGAAUUCUUUUGAGGACCUAAGUCCUGACUGCUUGAGACAUGCAGGACUUGUAUAUGAGUAUACAUUGGGAGAAGUUCACCUUUAUUGAGAAGUGUAACAACCCUCGUUCUGUCACAUUAUUGAUCAAAGGACCAAAUAAGCCCACACUUAGAUCAAAGAUGCAGUAAGGGAUGGCUUGAGGGCUGUCAAAAAUGCUAUUGAUGAUGGCUGUGUGGUUCCGGUGCUGGUGCCGUGGAAGUGGCAAUGGCAGAAGCCCUGAAUAAAUAUAAGCUCAGUGUAAAGGGCAAGGCACAGCUUGGAGUCCAAGCAUUUGCUGAUGUGUUGCUCGUUAUUCCCAAGGUUCUUGCGCAGAAUUCUGGUUUUGACCUUCAGGAAACAUUAGUUAAAAUUUAAGCAGAACAUUCAGAAUCAGGUCAGCUCGUGGGUGUGGACCUGAACACAGGUGAGCCCGUGGUAGCAGCAGAAGCAGGCAUUAUGGGAUAACGAUUGUGUAAAGAAACAGCUUCUUCAUUCCUGCACUGGUUGCCACCAACAUUCUCUUGGUUGAUGAGAUCAUGCGAGCUGGAAUCUUCUCUGAAAGGUUGAAUUGAAGCUUCCUCUGUAUCUGAGUCUUGAAGACUCUGCAAAGUGAUCCUGAAGAAUACAGCUGUGGAAUUUUUGUCCAAGCUUCAAAUGAGUUUCAAGGGAAUUUUCCCAUGUGAAAAAAGGAGAGAACACUGGCAUCUGUUGAAAUUCGGAAGUUCUGAAAUUAUAAUCACAGUAUUUUUUAAAAAUUGCACUGAAGUGUACACAGAUAAAGCAGGUCUUUCACCCAGUGAACAGGAUGUUUUGCUUUAGCAGCAGUGACAUAAAAUUCCAUGUUAAAUAAGCAUAUAUUACCUACCUUAUUAAAUAUUCCUUGAAAAAGCA
Molecule: long non-coding RNA, 1952 nt
Filed under: Homo sapiens (human)
Lineage: Eukaryota; Metazoa; Chordata; Mammalia; Primates; Hominidae
Description: novel transcript
Source: RNAcentral